CAGGGGCCCUUUAAUAACAGCUCCAUCCGCCUCCCUCCCUUCGCGCAGGAACAAACUCAACAGGGCCGUGACUGGGACUUCAGGCAGUUGAGAUCACAACCUGUCAUCGACACGACCCUGGGAGACCACCUGCUCCUGCGCGCACCGAGCCGGUCCACAGCAACAAGCUCCGUGCUGCUCCCCACUUCCAGCACUCACUGUGGACUGUUCAGAUGGUGUAUUGAUCCAGGGAGGCAGAAGCAGCGUAUAGUAAAGUGCAGCAGCCAAAAUAAGCAACACUACUCAUUUCAAAACACCUUCAAAGAAAAGCUCUCACAGGCAUUGAGGCGUUGCAUACACACAUUUUGGAGGCCAUCUUUCACCAGCGGCCGAGAGGACACUCCCCUGACGCAGUUUGGGGAUGGAGUGCCUUGCUCAGCACAUAUGGGGUCUCAGACGCUCCUGUGAAGCCAGAGUCUCUGCACGUCAUCGGCCCACUGCUUUCAGUUUGAGAUCCAACAGGACUGCUGGUUAGCCCCCCCUCCCACCCCACCAGGCUGGGGACAACGUCAACUAUGCAGUAAACCUGUGACACCACAACAAACAUGUGGCUGAAC
Long non-coding RNA from Platichthys flesus (European flounder), 596 nucleotides. RefSeq lists it as uncharacterized. Lineage: Eukaryota; Metazoa; Chordata; Actinopteri; Pleuronectiformes; Pleuronectidae. The record is from RefSeq and is a predicted model, not a curated record. The transcript is spliced from 6 exons.